UGAGGCGUGGCUUCCGGAGCUAACGCGUUAAGUCGACCGCCUGGGGAGUACGGCCGCAAGGUUAAAACUCAAAAGAAUUGACGGGGGCCCGCACAAGCGGUGGAGCAUGUGGUUUAAUUCGAUGCAACGCGAAGAACCUUACCUACUCUUGACAUCCAGAGAACUUAGCAGAGAUGCUUUGGUGCCUUCGGGAACUCUGAGACAGGUGCUGCAUGGCUGUCGUCAGCUCGUGUUGUGAAAUGUUGGGUUAAGUCCCGCAACGAGCGCAACCCUUAUCCUUUGUUGCCAGCGGUCCGGCCGGGAACACAAAGGAGACUGCCAGUGAUAAACUGGAGGAAGGUGGGGAUGACGUCAAGUCAUCAUGGCCCUUACGAGUAGGGCUACACACGUGCUACAAUGGCAUAUACAAAGAGAAGCGACCUCGCGAGAGCAAGCGGACCUCAUAAAGUAUGUCGUAGUCCGGAUUGGAGUCUGCAACUCGACUCCAUGAAGUCGGAAUCGCUAGUAAUCGUGGAUCAGAAUGCCACGGUGAAUACGUUCCCGGGCCUUGUACACACCGCCCGUCACACCAUGGGAGUGGGUUGCAAAAGAAGUAGGUAGCUUAACCUUUCGGGAGGGCGCUUACCACUUUGUGAUUUCAUGACUGGGGUGAAGUCGUUAACAAGG
RNAcentral lists this ribosomal RNA (666 nucleotides) under Citrobacter sp. BAB-1672. RNAcentral describes it as "bacterial SSU rRNA". It matches the Rfam family "Bacterial small subunit ribosomal RNA", at positions 833 to 1496 of the family's 1533-position model. The record is from RNAcentral. Lineage: Bacteria; Pseudomonadati; Pseudomonadota; Gammaproteobacteria; Enterobacterales; Enterobacteriaceae.